RNAcentral lists this ribosomal RNA (262 nucleotides) under uncultured bacterium. Its description in RNAcentral is "partial 16S ribosomal RNA". It matches the Rfam family "Bacterial small subunit ribosomal RNA", at positions 524 to 782 of the family's 1533-position model. The record is from RNAcentral.
UACGUAGGGGGGCAAGCGUUGUCCGGAUUUAUUGGGCGUAAAGAGCGUGUAGGCGGUUUGGUAGGUCCGCUGUGAAAACUCGAGGCUCAACCUCGAGACGCCGGUGGAAACCAUCAGACUAGAGUCCGGAAGAGGAGAGUGGAAUUCCUGGUGUAGCGGUGAAAUGCGCAGAUAUCAGGAAGAACACCCCGUGGCUAAGGCGGCUCUCUAGUACGGUACUGACGCUGAGACGCGAAAGCGUGGGGGAGCGAACAGGAUAGAA